UGAAAAUAUGCAAAUGUGUGUUUGAAUGGGCUCUUUCAUUUCACCGUGAGGAAAAGUUUUUAGAUUGAUUGUUUACUGGUAUAAAGGUUUUGGCUUCAGUGUUCCUGUCUCUCUAACUGAGCCGGAUUUCAAAUUGGUAAUUGUGUCAUGUUUCUGCUUUUGACCCGAUUGUGUUUCAAUCUGAAAAGACGAUACUGAUUUAACAUGUUAGUCAUUUUGAUGCUCAGAGAGAAUGCAUUGAGAUUGGAG
This 249-nucleotide unclassified non-coding RNA is filed under the name Hevea brasiliensis (rubber tree). Lineage: Eukaryota; Viridiplantae; Streptophyta; Magnoliopsida; Malpighiales; Euphorbiaceae. The record is from RNAcentral.